Molecule: long non-coding RNA, 2651 nt
Organism: Passer montanus (Eurasian tree sparrow)
Lineage: Eukaryota; Metazoa; Chordata; Aves; Passeriformes; Passeridae
Exons: 4
Source: RefSeq, a predicted model, not a curated record
ACUACAGCAUAUUGCUAGGCCAGGUUUAUCUGAGUGCUCAGGGCUGAAGCACUUCUUGGGACUUGCCUUUCCAGCACAGAUAGCACUUUGAACUGGCAAAGGGUAGGUGAUUGACAUCAGACAGAAGGUCUGAUUUCAUCAAGGCUUUGGCAUGCCACUUGCUGGAAAAUGUAUUCCAAUAAGUACCACCCAGAGUUAUUAAAUGUGGCACUGAAGGGUGACCAAAGUUCCUGCCAAGGAACUGCCACUCUGGACUGGUUUGGUCUCUGCUCCUACAGGCAGGCCUGAUGUUAGACAUCAAUGGGAAAAGCAUUUGACACGGCUGAGUGCAUUUGUCUUCUCCAACGUGCAAACUAGAGACCAGCUAUUUUCUGCUCAGCAUGGAAAGGAAACAGGAGAACUGAGACCACAACACCCACGUCUGUGAAGCUCCUUUGCAGGUGCAACCUUGCACUGAGGAAUUCAUGCUCAUUGUGCCAUGGAGAAUAUGACUUCAACUUCUGCGGGAGGAGCUUUCAAGCAGCUGGAAAAAAGUUCAGACUUGGGAUCCUGAUGAGCCAAAGCAAAGAUGGAGUUAGAGAAUAAACCCGGGAGAUUCUGGAUAUCCUGCAGUCUUUCCAUGUGACCUUGCCCAAACUUGCAAACAUUCCUUAACUGCGACGACAGCUGAACCCCAGUCAGUGCUGCUGCUGUGAAAAGCAAAAUCCUUCUGGGCUCUGAGACCAGGAAUGCUGUAGGUAAGAUGCUGAAAGGGUUUAUUGCCCUUCUCAGCACUGCAAGGCUGAACCAUGGCCUUGCACUUAAAUAAAUAAAAAAACCACCAACAGACAAACUGAAAAUUGUCCAGAGGAGAGCAACAAAAAUGAUCAGAGGUCUAGAAAACAUGACUUAUGAGGAAAGAUUGAAAGGGCUGGGUUUGUUUAGUCUACAGACUUUGAAACAUCCUAAUAAACUCUAAAGAUGUAAAAAAUAUAUGGAAUCUAAAAGGGUCAAUCGAUUGCCCUUUAUCUCUGUGGCAGAAGGUACAGCACAAAGAAGACAGUAUUAAAAGCUCUGAGGCCAAUAACACCUCAAGUUUGUUACUUGGGGAGGGAUCACAGCAGCUCAUGGCAGAUUUUCAGUGUUUUGGACAAGUACCAUGAGGGACUGGGUAACUCACUGAACCACGGAAGAGACUGGUUUCAGCCACGUGGUCCUAUGGUUUCCUUGGCCUAGUGACUGUGUCAGGGCACCUGAGGACAAGGCCUUGGAGAUGAUGAAGUUUUAGAACACUCCCUAAUUUGAAAAAAAUGUGGCAGGUGCUUAACCCUUCUAGAAGUUGCAAGAAGAAAUCUUUUUAAAAAGCCUCUUUUCCAUGGCUUCCAUGGUUAUGAAAUGAAGAGCAACAAAUUCCCACCUUUUCAUGGGGCCAUCACUGCAUUGUGAAGAACCUUGCUGCUCUCCCAUGGGGGAUUCCUAUCUAGGUGAGUACUCAAAUAUUUAGAUGAUCAGACCUCUGAAAAAGCAUGUAAAAGUGAAUCAGGUAGUAACAACCUUGCAGAUCCUGCUCCAAAAAAUAAUCUCCUGGCAAUGGAGAAAGAGGCACCUUGGCCAACCCUUGCUAGGAGUGCUUUUACAACUGCAGAGCAGUGGGGAUGGUAUUAGGUACUGGUCUAGGAGGGCCAGGUGGUGCUCAGCACCUGAUCAGAAAGGCAACAUCCCUUCUCCUCAUCACGCCCACUCAGAGCUGAGUAUCCCAUCCUGGAGCUGUGUGUGCUGCUCCCUACAAAUGACUGAGCAACUUUGCUAUCCCUCAUCUGUCUUGGAAAGCUCAACACUGUUUUCUGAUUUCAACUCCUAUUCUUCAAAGGGUCCCAAAAGUUUUGUCAGAGUUUGCAUCCAAAUUCACCACAAGACAAAAGCCUAUUAGAAAACAGGCUUUGAAUUUACUGCCCAGCAAUCCCAAAUUCCCUGAAUUAUGGGCAUGAGGUGAGAGGUUUGUGAAGGAAAGGAGCACAAGGUUGCAGCCAGAGCAGAGCUUCCCGUAGCCCUUGGCAUUUCCAAGGACCUGGGGGUCAAGUGAGGGCUCCCCAAGAGAUGGUGGAAAGAUGCUGUGUUCAAUCCUGCCACAACCCUGCUCCUUUUUGCACUCCCCAUUUCCUGCCCAGCUAUGCAAGGUACUGCUUGGUCUCACAUGAACACAGAGAAAAAUCACUAGUUAUAUGAUACGGGAAUUAAAAAAGUCUGUUUGCUUCUAAGCAUAAACCUAUGACUGAGGCAAUGGUUUGCAAACAUGGGAUUAUGGCCCCAAGUCAACUUUUUUUUCCCCUCAGUUUUGGGUACAGUCACGAGCCUGGCAGGAAUAUGUGUCAGCUAAAAUGCAUGGCAGCAACUGGCGUCUCCUGGAGUUUGGAGCUGAGUGGGGUCACAACAGGAUGGAGUUUGGGAAGGCAGCACUGCAGGGUUAGGAAUAAACAUCUCCCUGGGGCAGACUUUCCAUAAUUGGCCAUGACAAGGCUUCUUUCUCCAGAGAGCUGGAGCUGGUCUGUGAGGAAACAGGAUGAAUCACUGCUCCAGCUCAAUUUGGCAAAUGCCAUGAUUUCGUUCUGCUCUGCACAGGGAGCAGAUGAUGAUAUAGACUGAAAGACAGAACAGAAAUCUAGCCAAAGGCU